RNAcentral lists this long non-coding RNA (325 nucleotides) under Androctonus crassicauda. The record is from RNAcentral. Lineage: Eukaryota; Metazoa; Arthropoda; Arachnida; Scorpiones; Buthidae.
CCGAUGUCUCUCACACUGCAGCAGUCAGUCCUUUCUUCAAGCUGAGUUGGACCGAAUUUUUACCAUUGGCUGUAAACAUGGAUACUCUAACAAAUUUAUGCGGUGCCUUUUUCAUAAGGUCAAGAAUGAUUACUCUAAGCAACUGUUUCCCUCGGAACAACCUGGCCCUUCCUCCCAAGUAGAGCCUGCUCCUGCCUCACAAUAUCGGCUCCCAAUACCGUACAGACUCCACUCCAACCCUGCUAUUAGAUCCACCCUUAAGUCGGUGAAUAAAGCCAGUACCUUCAGAAGAGCUCCCACCGUCUUCAGUUUAUUGCGUAACGAU